Molecule: long non-coding RNA, 508 nt
Organism: Drosophila guanche
Lineage: Eukaryota; Metazoa; Arthropoda; Insecta; Diptera; Drosophilidae
Exons: 2
Source: RefSeq, a predicted model, not a curated record
UGAAAUUAGCACAAUCCAAUCGAAUGCCUGGCAAUCGCAGAUCAUUUACACUUGAGCAGUUCUCCAAGAAGCCGUUCGCCAGCUGGCUACGUGCCAGCCUGCCAGGAGGCUGUAUCGUAAUGGGUAGAACAGCAAUGGGUGGUGCUAUAGCUGAUGGUGUGGUAGGUGGCGUGGCUGGGUCCUGGACUCUGGCUCUGGAUCCGACUUUGACUCUGACUCUCGCUCUGCUCUCGAUUCGUUCAAGUUUCGGCCUCGUUCGAAAUUAACGCAAAUGUAUGCAAGCAAAGUUUGUCGUUUUCGCUCACGUAGACAAAACUUGGGGGACGUGCAGUUUGGCCAAACUAAAUGUGCUUAUUGAAUUCGCUCAUCGUUAACUAUGAAUAUUUUACAAAGAAUGGAGGAAAAAACUAUUUGGCAAAUGAAUUUCACCUCCUCCAAACUUUUCUAUGGAAAUCAAUAUUCCCUCAAUUAUUGCAGAUAAUUAAAACUAUUUUUCUACGUUCUCUAA